UACGUAGGGUGCGAGCGUUAAUCGGAAUUACUGGGCGUAAAGUGUGCGCAGGCGGCUUCGCAAGUCGAGUGUGAAAUCCCCGAGCUUAACUUGGGAAUUGCGCUCGAAACUACGGAGCUGGAGUGUGGCAGAGGAAGGUGGAAUUCCACGUGUAGCGGUGAAAUGCGUAGAUAUGUGGAGGAACACCGAUGGCGAAGGCAGCCUUCUGGGCCAACACUGACGCUCAUGCACGAAAGCGUGGGGAGCAAACAGG
RNAcentral lists this ribosomal RNA (253 nucleotides) under uncultured bacterium. RNAcentral describes it as "partial 16S ribosomal RNA". It matches the Rfam family "Bacterial small subunit ribosomal RNA", at positions 524 to 776 of the family's 1533-position model. The record is from RNAcentral.